AAAUUGGUGACCUAGUGGUUAGAGCAUCUGUCUUGGAUGCGGGAGGUUGUGGGUUCGAUCCCCAGUCAAGUCA
Molecule: non-coding RNA, 73 nt
Organism: Potamilus streckersoni
Lineage: Eukaryota; Metazoa; Mollusca; Bivalvia; Unionida; Unionidae
Source: the annotation of a GenBank genome assembly